AGCGAACGCUGGCGGCAGGCCUCAAACAUGCAAGUCUAGGGGGUGUAGCAAUACAUCACCGGCGGACGGGUGCGUAACGCGUGGGAAUGUACCUAUUGGUUCGGAACAACUGAGGGAAACUUCAGCUAAUACCGAAUGUGCCCGAAAGGGGAAAGAUUUAUCGCCAAUGGAUCAGCCCGCGUAGGAUUAGCUAGUUGGUG
This 200-nucleotide ribosomal RNA is filed under the name uncultured bacterium. RNAcentral's name for it is "partial 16S ribosomal RNA". It matches the Rfam family "Bacterial small subunit ribosomal RNA", at positions 29 to 254 of the family's 1533-position model. The record is from RNAcentral.